This 275-nucleotide ribosomal RNA is filed under the name uncultured bacterium. RNAcentral describes it as "partial 16S ribosomal RNA". It matches the Rfam family "Bacterial small subunit ribosomal RNA", at positions 523 to 796 of the family's 1533-position model. The record is from RNAcentral.
AUACGGAGGGUGCAAGCGUUGUUCGGAUUUACUGGGCGUAAAGGGCGUGUAGGCGGAUAUGUAAGCUGGAGGUGAAAGCCCCGGGCUCAACCCGGGAACUGCUUUGUAGAACUGCAUAUCUAGAGAAAGUCAGAGGCAGGUGGAAUUCCUGGUGUAGAGGUGAAAUUCGUAGAGAUCAGGAGGAACACCGGCGGCGAAGGCGGCCUGCUGGGGCUUUUCUGACGCUGAGGCGCGAAAGCGUGGGGAGCAAACAGGAUUAGAAACCCCGGUAGUCC